Molecule: long non-coding RNA, 115 nt
Organism: Athene cunicularia (burrowing owl)
Lineage: Eukaryota; Metazoa; Chordata; Aves; Strigiformes; Strigidae
Exons: 3
Source: RefSeq, a predicted model, not a curated record
GACAGGCGAUGUCGGGCCUUCUCGGGAAGCAGGGCUCCAAUACGUGUAGUGGUUGCCUUGGAUGACCAAGGGUGACCCCACACCCUUCCUCCUUUCUCCCAGCUUUAUCCUGAGC